UAGGGAAUUUUCGUCAAUGGGGGGAACCCUGAACGAGCAAUGCCGCGUGAGUGAAGAAGGUCUUCGGAUCGUAAAGCUCUGUUGUAAGAGAAAAACGGACUCCAUAGGGAAUGAUGGAGGAGUGAUGGUAUCUUACCAGAAAGCCACGGCUAACUACGUGCCAGCAGCCGCGGUAAUACGUAGGUGGCGAGCGUUAUCCGGAAUCAUUGGGCGUAAAGGGUGCGUAGGUGGCACGAUAAGUCUGUAGUAAAAGGCAGCGGCUCAACCGCUGUUGGCUAUGGAAACUGUCGAGCUGGAGUGCAGAAGAGGGCGAUGGAAUUCCAUGUGUAGCGGUAAAAUGCGUAGAUAUAUGGAGGAACACCAGUGGCGAAGGCGGCCGCCUGGUCUGCAACUGACACUGAAGCACGAAAGCGUGGGGAGCAAAUA
Molecule: ribosomal RNA, 426 nt
Filed under: uncultured bacterium
Lineage: Bacteria
Description: bacterial SSU rRNA
Rfam family: Bacterial small subunit ribosomal RNA
Source: RNAcentral